This 282-nucleotide ribosomal RNA is filed under the name uncultured Geobacillus sp. RNAcentral's name for it is "partial 16S ribosomal RNA". It matches the Rfam family "Bacterial small subunit ribosomal RNA", at positions 1100 to 1382 of the family's 1533-position model. The record is from RNAcentral. Lineage: Bacteria; Bacillati; Bacillota; Bacilli; Caryophanales; Anoxybacillaceae.
AACCCUCGCCUCUAGUUGCCAGCAUUCGGUUGGGCACUCUAGAGGGACUGCCGGCGACGAAGUCGGAGGAAGGUGGGGAUGACAUCAAAUCAUCAUGCCCCUUAUGACCUGGGCUACACACGUGCUACAAUGGGCGGUACAGAGGGCUGCGAACCCGCGAGGGGGAGCGAAUCCCAAAAAGCCGCUCUCAGUUCGGAUUGCAGGCUGCAACUCGCCUGCAUGAAGCCGGAAUCGCUAGUAAUCGCGGAUCAGCAUGCCGCGGUGAAUACGUUCCCGGGCCUU